This 165-nucleotide small nuclear RNA is filed under the name Canis lupus familiaris (dog). Its description in RNAcentral is "U4 spliceosomal RNA (ENSCAFG00845021416.1)". The stretch from base 1 to 65 matches the Rfam family "U4 spliceosomal RNA". The record is from RNAcentral. Lineage: Eukaryota; Metazoa; Chordata; Mammalia; Carnivora; Canidae.
AGCUUUGCACAGUGGCAGUAUCAUAGCCAAUGAGGUUUAUCUGAGGCAUGAUUAUUGCUAAUAAAUGCAGCUUAAUCAAUCUGGAGACUGCAUGGAAAGCUAUAAUAAUCUAUCAGUUACCCUGUAAGAAAGGUUAUAAGGGAUUGCUUAAAAAUUAUAAAUCAU